CAAUAAUGUUUAAUAUUUAGUAUUUACUGUCAUAUUCCCAUAUAUCAUUGUGAUGUUGUUUAUUCUAUUACUCUUGUUCUCUUCUGCUUGUUUUCUUUUUUCUUUCUCAGCAAGUGACCCAGGUGAUUGAUAUAUGCAUUUUUUUUUCUCUGCCCGUUCUGUUGGUUUUUGUCUUUUGCCCUUCUCCCCCGUCCCUCUUCUCAGCUGUUUCUCUUUCCCUCUUUCUUUCUCCCCUUCUUUCCCCCAGUCAAGUCUGUCCCGUAUUCACAUCCUGCCAUGCAUUUGUCCCUAACCAUCAGGAACCCUCACGUUAACUUUUAUCGAGUGGAAAAAGGUUAGCGUUCAUCAUCCAGCUUCACUGUGUUUAUGUUAUGCUACCAUAGCUGUUUAGCUAGCCACCAUGUAGCACAGUGGUUCCCAAACUUUUUUUCGCUGGGCCCCGCUUUGUUUUACAGAAAAAUGUUCGCGGGCCCCCCCUCGCACACACACACACGCGCACACACGCAUGCACUAACACACGCAUGCACUAACACAUCCUCCAACCACACACACCCAUAUUUUGCUCAAUUGUGGUUUAUUUCACACCUCAAACAUUUAGUAAACAAUUAAGCAAAUACAAGUAAUCUGCAGGUAGUAAGAAAAUAAACUACUAACUCGCUACGUCUGCACCUACACGGGUAUUUUUGAAAACGCAGCUGUUUCGUCCACACGUAAACGGCUUUUCGAAUCACCGAAAACUGAGAUUUUUUAAAACUCAUUUUUUGCGUUCACGUGUGGACGAGGAAUACAGAGUUCAUCACGCAACAUCAAAUGUAUGUGCCUAUUUUCACGUCAGCUGUGCGCCACGUUAUUGCUUACAUGAGAGGAAUUGCAGAAUGGCAGAUAAACCGUAUUUUGUCUCUAUCUUCAGGUUUUACACGCAGUUACUGUCCCUCUAUUUAGAAAGGCAGAGGCGUCACGGUGUAAUUAUUUUACAUGUAGUUGUUUUUUUCCUGUGUAAUAAUAUUCAACAUUGCUAUCAAUACAUUUUUCCAAAAAAAUGCCUCUCUGUGCAAAAUGGGUUCAAAAACAUAAACAGCUGUGGGAUACUGUUUGUCCAUGAUUUAGACAGGGAAAACAAAUCGUGGCAGGAUCAGCCUGAUGUUAUUUGUAUCCCACUGUAACUUUACUGUAUAAAGAGCUAAAAUCUCCAAAAUGUCAGGAGUAGUUAGUCAUUACAAGAAGUGUUUGUGAACUAAAAAUCAAGAAUGUGGGAUACUGUUUGUCCAUGAUUUGAAGAGCCCAGCGCUGCUCCCGACGAAGGAAAGACCAAUUCUGCAGGGGAGACCUACCUUGGCACUUGUGCUGGUGAAACCAGGGGAAGAUAUGCUUCACCAUAUUUUCUAGUCUUUGGCUUAGAAUGAAGUUGGUUUGGAAACAUAUUCAGCUAUGCUUCAUCUCCUGCUUUGCGUUUGUGUAGGCGCCCCGUGCUAGCAGUGUCCAAGCGUUGUUUUUGGUAUUUUUUCCCUUUUCAUGCCGCGCACCCCCUGCAAUGGCUCUGCGCCCCCCCUAGGGGGCGGGCCCCACACUUUGGGAAGGUCUGAUGUAGCACAUCAUUAUAUACCAGCUAGCCCAACUUCAGUAACC
This is a long non-coding RNA of Astatotilapia calliptera (eastern happy), 1626 nucleotides long. The record is from Ensembl. NCBI's taxonomy places the organism in Eukaryota, Metazoa, Chordata, Actinopteri, Cichliformes, Cichlidae.